UUCAACGAAUAUUGUAGAUAUAAGACGGCUGUAAUAAAAAUCCAACA
This 47-nucleotide small RNA is filed under the name Arabidopsis thaliana (thale cress). Its description in RNAcentral is "ATSL205260". Lineage: Eukaryota; Viridiplantae; Streptophyta; Magnoliopsida; Brassicales; Brassicaceae. The record is from RNAcentral.